This is a long non-coding RNA of Brassica oleracea var. oleracea, 658 nucleotides long. RefSeq lists it as uncharacterized. The transcript has 4 exons. The record is from RefSeq and is a predicted model, not a curated record. Lineage: Eukaryota; Viridiplantae; Streptophyta; Magnoliopsida; Brassicales; Brassicaceae.
UUAUUUCAAGAACGAGGAAGCUACUGCAUCUACUAUUGAUUCAGAAGGAUAGUUGAAGACUGGAGAUUUGUGUUACAUUGACGGUGAAGGUUUUGUCUUUGUUGUUGGUAGAUUAAAGGAGCUUAUCAAAUGCAAUGGUUAUCAGGUUGCUCCAGCUGAGCUUGAAGCAUUGUUACUUGCUCAUCCAGAGAUUGCUGAUGCAGCAGUAAUACCCAUCCCUGACUUGAAAGCUGGGCAAUAUCCAAUGGCAUAUAUCGUAAGAACAGCUGGAGGUAACUUAUCCGAAAGUGAAAUCAUGAGCUUCGUAGCAAAACAGGUAUCGCCGUACAAGAGGAUACGUAAGGUCACAUUUUUGGCUUCAAUCCCCAAAAAUCCCUCUGGCAAAAUUUUAAGAAGAGAACUUAUAAAGCUCACAAACUUGAAGCUCUAGCAAACCACUCUAUCUUACACUUCACCGUUAGUUAACUCAUUUAUUUGGUUAACCGAUUAUUUAUUUCUCUUACAUAAAUCUCUGUCAAAACUGAAUAUUGAUUUUGCUCAGCCUGUGAGUUCUCUCCUCUCCCUGUGUCGACGUGUUCCUCUUCUUGGUGUCUCUGUUUCUCAUAUCUGCUAUUGUUGAUUUUGUCUAGAAGCAGCAGGUCUAUUCUAAGUCGCUGCG